AGGAGACGGAGGCCGUCGCCGUGGAGAAGACAAAGCAGUCACCGUCCGCCGGCAAGUCGCGAGACGACGAAAAGCCCCAAGAAGGCGGAAGCAACGUCCUAGGAACCCGUCGAGCCGCUGCGGUCGCCGUCGACGGGGAGGCGGAAGGAGUCGGCAAGGGGGAGGAGAGGGCGGAGGUCCGGAGGAGAGGAAGACUAGGAGAGGGGAGAGGGACUGAGGGAAUGGAGCUCGGGCGGCGCUCACAAAGACACAAACCCUAAGCGACGCCUUUUACGUCCAAUCAACCUCGCGGUGAAACUGUGAAACCGGACGGUGGACCUCGCGGUGAAAGCGGGCCGAAGCGGGGAGUUGGGCCGAGGCGGUGAAAGCGGGCCGAGGCAGGGAGUGAAAUUGAGUUUUCUCAUGACAGAAAGAUUAAUCAACAGAUACAAAUCCUUUUGACCUAACUACAGACCAUCUAACUGAUUUGCAACUCGGGCAACUUCAUUGUAUUUAAGUUGGUAGAUACAGAAAGUGAAAAUUACAGCAAACAUCAAAAUUGCCUAUAUGCAAAUGCAAUAAGGCUGAAGAAGGAAAAUUAUGAUUAAACCGUUUCUCAGAGGGGAUGUACCAUUGCUAUACAUUCUUAAAAUAGAAAAGAAACAUAGAUGAAGAUUAAAUUUUGAAGGCAUAACUAAGUGUUUUAAAAAUAUAUAAAGUAAUGCAUCAUUUUCAUAAUUAUUGUUUUAUGAGUUCACUUCACUUUGGAAACCAACUAGAGCACUAUACACCGCCAAGAUUUCUUUCCCAAUACUCGAAGUCGUCCCCAAAUGCUGGAGAGGCUUACAUUGUAUAAGCAAUAGGGGUGGUAAAAUAUGAUCCAACCCGCCAUAAACAGAUUUGGGUUUGGCUUAAACAGGUUCGGGUCGUAAACAGGUUGAUCCGUUUAACCUGUUUAUUAAUUGGGUCGGAUACAGAUUUUAAAUUUCUGACCCGUUUAAUCUGUAUAACCUGUUUAAUUGUUGGGCUAAUAUAUAAGGGCCAGCCAUACUCCCUGCCUCGGCCCGCUUUCACCGCCUCGGCCCAACUCCCCGCUUCGGCCCGCUUUCACCGCGAGGUCCACCGUCCGGUUUCACAGUUUCACCGCGAGGUUGAUUGGACGUAAAAGGCGUCGCUUAGGGUUUGUGUCUUUGUGAGCGCCGCCCGAGCUCCAUUCCCUCAGUCCCUCUCCCCUCUCCUAGUCUUCCUCUCCUCCGGACCUCCGCCCUCUCCUCCCCCUUGCCGACUCCUUCCGCCUCCCCGUCGACGGCGACCGCAGCGGCUCGACGGGUUCCUAGGACGUUGCUUCCGCCUUCUUGGGGCUUUUCGUCGUCUCGCGACUUGCCGGCGGACGGUGACUGCUUUGUCUUCUCCACGGCGACGGCCUCCGUCUCCUGCCCUAUCCGUGCGUUCUCUCCCCUUCUCCGCUAGUAGUAUAGUCAUGCUAUCUCUGAUUUCCUUCCGCCAUCUCUUUCUGUCUCUGUUUCUUGAUCUUAGGGAUCUUGGAUCUCAAAGCGGCGGAGGACGUGAGGGCGCUCUUUCUCUUCUUCAAAGCGGCGACUACUGUGGAGUCCAGCAGCGCUGCAGCAGGUAUGCCGGUGGAGGGAAAUGGUUUGGUUUUUACUUUUUAUGGUUUGAUUCAUGGCGAAGGCUAGGGCUUCCAGAUUUUUUCCCCCACCCGAAUCGAAGCCGUCGAUGAUUUCCGGAGAGAAAAAAAUUUGGGGAUGGCGCCUAGAAUCCUAGAUCAGAGAUUUUGAGGGCUCCCGUUUCCAUUUUCUUUUAUUUUUUCCAAUAAAAAAAUUGUAAUCUGUUAAUUUCUCUCCUCCCCUUGUUCCUCUCCGUGUUUUCUUUUUACUUAAUUUCUGGUUAAAUUUAUUUUUUUAAAAAAAUUGCUUGACCGUGUUAAUAUUGGUGGAUUUAUUGUUGGCACUGUCCAUGGCUUAUAUGCUAACUAUCUAAUUUAACUAUUUAAGUCCAAUAGUUAAACGAGUCGGGUUGGGUUAAAUGGGUUAGCUGUUUGUUAAACGGGUUAAACGGGUCGGGUUACCCAUUUAAUAAACAUGUCAGGUUCAGGUUGUAAUUUUCUAACCUGUUUAAUAAACAGGUCGGGUUCAGGUUUAUGAUUUUUUGACCCGACUUGCAUCUGAUCCGACCUGUUUAUGUCCGACCCAACCCGAUUGCCACCCCUAAUAAGCAAUCAUUAGCUAAUUGUUUGGCACAAAGCUUUUCUCGCCAUCUCGGGAUGGGCGUGCCAGAGAGCUUGUUUGAUAAAUCCUCGUGGCAAGUGGUAAAAAGAUGCAUAGGCAUGCCACCGGCGUUAGAGCAACCGAAAAGAGGAUAAUUGAAGGAAGGAUAUCAAACUAGCGUUUGUCCAAGUGCUUGGACCUUCAAGGACUUUUGCCAUUGUCAUAUUGCCGUUCGAAAGAAAAUGGAGAGGGAUAGGAUGUAGCCUGAGCUACGGUAGGAAAAAUAUAAGUCAUUUUGGAAUAUCAAAGUCAUUUUGAGCGGCUUGUCAAUAGAGCUUGUAAUUGGCCAAAACGGUAACUUGUUGGAACUUUUAUUGAAGGACUUUGCUCAUACAUUCAUUGUGAGAUGAAGAUGUAUAAGCCCUACAUUAUAUUGGUAGCUAUCUCUUUUGCCCGAUUAUGAAAGGAAAGACUCAUUAAAAAUACCUCAUGCUUAAACAAGAGAGUAAAUAACAAGAAAUUCGUAAAUUUCAAGAAGAUACACUCAACAACAAAUAUGUUAAGUGGCUUACACAAGAGGAUCUCAUGGACAGAAUAAGCCAAGGCAAAUGUUAGCAUUGUGAUGAAAAAUGGCAUAGAGAAAAUUGCUAGAAAAAGAUAAUUUUUCUUAUCGAACCUGCACAUAUUGACACUUCACAAGAUGAAGAAGAUGAAGAUGAUCGCCAUGUACCACCUAGACAAAUAUAAUCUUGAGAACAAGAUCAUCUAGAAGUGAAAGGGAAUGAUAUGCUUCUUAUCUUAGGAUCCUAAUUUUAAUUUGAUUUAGCACAAGAAUUAGGAGGAGUCCAAGUUUAAUAAAGAUUGGCUACAUCAUAUUCCUAUUUUGCUUUUUCUUAUUCUUGUAGGACAAUUAACUCUGAAUCUAUAUAUACGUAGUGCUCUAGACAAGCAAUGAAUUUAAUAAAAAUAGUGUAAAGGCUAUUCGAGGUCCAAAACCUCUUGAAUUGAUCGAAUACUCUUUCUUCUACCUAUAUCUCUAUUUUUCUAUUUUCUUUUGCUCGAAAUUCUAUCAAUAGUAAGUGGGUUCCUAUCAAACAGAAUACAUACACAUAUAUAUACGACUUUUCAAAAACUAGUCUCGCAUUAUAAAAAUUUCAUCAUGACAUGAAGAUGAAAUAUCUUUUUUUCGUAUCCUAACAUCGAACUAGAAAGAGGAGACUAACUGAACAAAUUUAGUUCAAUGUCGAGAAGUUAUGUAAUUUAAAAACUAUCCUUACUGCAAGGAGAGGGGAAAACCUAUGAUUUAAACCCACCCCCCACCCCAACCUUCGGGGCGUCUCAUGGCCUGCUUUCACCUGUUCUCCGAACCUAAAGCGGUGAUUUUUCACGAAGCUUGUCGAAAGAAAUCAAACAAAUGGAUUAUCGCAUUUCAAUAGUUUAAUGGGUUAUCAUCUUCGAAUCAAAAUUUACAACAAUUCAAAAAACUAGAAUAGUAUAUUAGAGAGACAGAGAGAGAGAGACCUGCCGGUCGCCGGUCCGAGGUUACAGAGGUUGAGCUUUGAGGGUGAGUCGAGAGAGAUCUGCAGCCGCCCAACAGGAACCCUAGUCCUUAAAUCCAAGGAGGCCCUUGGCAAAGCAAAUGGGCCGAGUUAAUUUUGUCUAGGGCUAAUCCCGGCUCGAUUCCGUUUAACGUGAGCUAGGAAAGGGGAUUGUGGGACAAGAUCCCGCCCCCCAGCCCCACUGGCGUCUCUAGGUUACUAGGCUCGUCUUGGAAGUUUAUUUGGAUAAUUGGGCUGAAAAUCUUAUGAAAUUUAUGGACUAAGGCCUUGUUUGGAGGAGCUUUUGAAGGGCCAAAAAGCACUUUCUAAUUGUGAAACAAUUGAAGAUGAAUGGUAAGAAAAGGAUAUGCAUAGAUGUACCUACUCGUUGGAAUUCUACAUAUCUCAUGUUAAACGAUGUUAUACAAUUCAAGGAUGUAUUUAUGCGACUUGUGGCCCGGGAUUCUAAUAAACAUUUGAAAAGCUGGGUGUUCAACUGUUGUAAAUGGCAUCUCUUGUAAAAUUACCAUCCUUUACUUCAUCUAUUUUCUCAAAAGGCCAUAAAAACAGAUUUUAAUGCAUCUAAAAGCAGAAAUUAAAAUUUUUUUCCCUAAAACGUGAUUCAAAAGAUGCAUACAAACAUAGAAAAUAAAAAUACUUUUUCUUGCACAGAAGAGAGUCUAAUCCACGGCUAGGGUUCUUUGUUAGGGCAGAUUUUUAGGUUUAUAAAGGGACAAAGUAUGUAAUUAUUAUAUUUUAUUAUGGGUAUUUUGGUGAAAAAAAGCUUUCCGACAAAGCUCAAAAUAGCUUUUUCGAAAAGCUCCAAAUUGGAGCUUUUUUUAAAAAGCUGUUUUUAGCUUUCUGAAAAAGCUAAAACAGCUUUUCCAAAAUUUUUACCAAAUAUCUUUUUUUAAUCCAAAAGUGCUUUAGGAGGGCCAGAAAGUGCUUUUUGGCCCUUCAAAAGCUCCUCCAAACAAGGCCUUAGUCCAUAAAUUUCAUAAGAUUUUCAGCCCAAUUAUCCAAAUAAACUUCCAAGACGAGCCUAGUAACCUAGAGACGCCAGUGGGGCUGGGGGGCGGGAUCUUGUCCCACAAUCCCCUUUCCUAGCUCACGUUAAACGGAAUCGAGCCGGGAUUAGCCCUAGACAAAAUUAACUCGGCCCAUUUGCUUUGCCAAGGGCCUCCUUGGAUUUAAGGACUAGGGUUCCUGUUGGGCGGCUGCAGAUCUCUCUCGACUCACCCUCAAAGCUCAACCUCUGUAACCUCGGACCGGCGACCGGCAGGUCUCUCUCUCUCUGUCUCUCUAAUAUACUAUUCUAGUUUUUUGAAUUGUUGUAAAUUUUGAUUCGAAGAUGAUAACCCAUUAAACUAUUGAAAUGCGAUAAUCCAUUUGUUUGAUUUCUUUCGACAAGCUUCGUGAAAAAUCACCGCUUUAGGUUCGGAGAACAGGUGAAAGCAGGCCAUGAGACGCCCCGAAGGUUGGGGUGGGGGGUGGGUUUAAAUCAUAGGUUUUCCCCUCUCCUUGCAGUAAGGAUAGUUUUUAAAUUACAUAACUUCUCGACAUUGAACUAAAUUUGUUCAGUUAGUCUCCUCUUUCUAGUUCGAUGUUAGGAUACGAAAAAAAGAUAUUUCAUCUUCAUGUCAUGAUGAAAUUUUUAUAAUGCGAGACUAGUUUUUGAAAAGUCGUAUAUAUAUGUGUAUGUAUUCUGUUUGAUAGGAACCCACUUACUAUUGAUAGAAUUUCGAGCAAAAGAAAAUAGAAAAAUAGAGAUAUAGGUAGAAGAAAGAGUAUUCGAUCAAUUCAAGAGGUUUUGGACCUCGAAUAGCCUUUACACUAUUUUUAUUAAAUUCAUUGCUUGUCUAGAGCACUACGUAUAUAUAGAUUCAGAGUUAAUUGUCCUACAAGAAUAAGAAAAAGCAAAAUAGGAAUAUGAUGUAGCCAAUCUUUAUUAAACUUGGACUCCUCCUAAUUCUUGUGCUAAAUCAAAUUAAAAUUAGGAUCCUAAGAUAAGAAGCAUAUCAUUCCCUUUCACUUCUAGAUGAUCUUGUUCUCAAGAUUAUAUUUGUCUAGGUGGUACAUGGCGAUCAUCUUCAUCUUCUUCAUCUUGUGAAGUGUCAAUAUGUGCAGGUUCGAUAAGAAAAAUUAUCUUUUUCUAGCAAUUUUCUCUAUGCCAUUUUUCAUCACAAUGCUAACAUUUGCCUUGGCUUAUUCUGUCCAUGAGAUCCUCUUGUGUAAGCCACUUAACAUAUUUGUUGUUGAGUGUAUCUUCUUGAAAUUUACGAAUUUCUUGUUAUUUACUCUCUUGUUUAAGCAUGAGGUAUUUUUAAUGAGUCUUUCCUUUCAUAAUCGGGCAAAAGAGAUAGCUACCAAUAUAAUGUAGGGCUUAUACAUCUUCAUCUCACAAUGAAUGUAUGAGCAAAGUCCUUCAAUAAAAGUUCCAACAAGUUACCGUUUUGGCCAAUUACAAGCUCUAUUGACAAGCCGCUCAAAAUGACUUUGAUAUUCCAAAAUGACUUAAAUUUUUCCUACCGUAGCUCAGGCUACAUCCUAUCCCUCUCCAUUUUCUUUCGAACGGCAAUAUGAUAAUGGCAAAAGUCCUUAAAGGUCCAAGCACUUGGACAAACGCUAGUUUGAUAUCCUUCCUUCAAUUAUCCUCUUUUCGGUUGCUCUAACGCCGGUGGCAUGCCUAUGCAUCUUUUUACCACUUGCCACGAGGAUUUAUCAAACAAGCUCUCUGGCACGCCCAUCCCGAGAUGGCGAGAAAAGCUUUGUGCCAAACAGUUAGCUAAUGAUUGCUUAUUAGGGGUGACAAUCGGGUUGGGUCGGACAUAAACAGGUCCGAUCAUAUGCAAGUCGGGUCAAAAAAUCAUAAACCUGAACCCGACCUGUUUAUUAAACAGGUUAGAAAAUUACAACCUGAACCUGACCUGUUUAUUAAAUGGGUAACCUGACCCGUUUAACCCGUUUAACAAACAGCUAACCCGUUUAACCCAGCCCGACUCGUUUAACCUAACCCGACCCGUUUAACUAUUGGACUUAAAUAGUUAAAUUAGAUAGUUGGCGUAUAAGCCAUGGACAGUGCCAACAAUAAAUCCACCAAUAUUAACACGGUCAAGCAAUUUUUUAAAAAAAAUAAAUUUAACCAGAAAUUAAGUAAAAAGAAAACACGGAGAGGAACAAGGGAAGGAGAGAAAUUAACAGAUUACAAUUUUUUUAUUGGAAAAAAUAAAAGAAAAUGGAAACGGGAGCCCUCAAAAUCUCUGAUCUAGGAUUCUAGGCGCCAUCCCCAAAUUUUUUUCUCUCCGGAAAUCAUCGACGGCUUCGAUUCGGGUGGGGGAAAAAAUCUGGAAGCCCUAGCCUUCGCCAUGAAUCAAACCAUAAAAAGUAAAAACCAAACCAUUUCCCUCCACCGGCAUACCUGCUGCAGCGCUGCUGGACUCCACAGUAGUCGCCGCUUUGAAGAAGAGAAAGAGCGCCCUCACGUCCUCCGCCGCUUUGAGAUCCAAGAUCCCUAAGAUCAAGAAACAGAGACAGAAAGAGAUGGCGGAAGGAAAUCAGAGAUAGCAUGACUAUACUACUAGCGGAGAAGGGGAGAGAACGCACGGAUAGGGCAGGAGACGGAGGCCGUCGCCGUGGAGAAGACAAAGCAGUCACCGUCCGCCGGCAAGUCGCGAGACGACGAAAAGCCCCAAGAAGGCGGAAGCAACGUCCUAGGAACCCGUCGAGCCGCUGCGGUCGCCGUCGACGGGGAGGCGGAAGGAGUCGGCAAGGGGGAGGAGAGGGCGGAGGUCCGGAGGAGAGGAAGACUAGGAGAGGGGAGAGGGACUGAGGGAAUGGAGCUCGGGCGGCGCUCACAAAGACACAAACCCUAAG
RNAcentral lists this long non-coding RNA (7615 nucleotides) under Phoenix dactylifera (date palm). RNAcentral's name for it is "long non-coding RNA (PDAC_LNC001195)". The record is from RNAcentral. Lineage: Eukaryota; Viridiplantae; Streptophyta; Magnoliopsida; Arecales; Arecaceae.